AGUGAACGCUGGCGGUAGGCCUAACACAUGCAAGUCGAACGGCAGCACAGUAAGAGCUUGCUCUUACGGGUGGCGAGUGGCGGACGGGCGAGGAAUACAUCGGAAUCUACUUUUUCGUGGGGGAUAACGUAGGGAAACUUACGCUAAUACCGCAUACGACCUACGGGUGAAAGCAGGGGAUCUUCGGACCUUGCGCGAUUGAAUGAGCCGAUGUCGGAUUAGCUAGUUGGCGGGGUAAGGCCCACCAAGGCGACGAUCCGUAGCUGGUCUGAGAGGAUGAUCAGCCACACUGGAACUGAGACACGGUCCAGACUCCUACGGGAGGCAGCAGUGGGGAAUAUUGGACAAUGGGCGCAAGCCUGAUCCAGCCAUACCGCGUGGGUGAAGAAGGCCUUCGGGUUGUAAAGCCCUUUUGUUGGGAAAGAAAAGCAGCAGGUUAAUACCCCGCUGUUCUGACGGUACCCAAAGAAUAAGCACCGGCUAACUUCGUG
RNAcentral lists this ribosomal RNA (491 nucleotides) under uncultured bacterium. RNAcentral describes it as "partial 16S ribosomal RNA". It matches the Rfam family "Bacterial small subunit ribosomal RNA", at positions 29 to 507 of the family's 1533-position model. The record is from RNAcentral.